GAAGCAUCAGACACUGGGGGGCGCUUCUUGAACAGGCACUGGGCUAGACAGCCCAGACCUCGCGGAAACAAAGCGGGAAGGGGCCGCUCCUGGGGAGUUUUUCCCAGCUUCCCUGGGCCGGUGAGGGGUCCUGGCGUCCUGAACUGGAGAUGCUCCUUAGAGGGCACUGCUUCAGCCACCCCUGCCUUAGCAUACAUACGGGUCCCACAGGGGUCCUUCGACACCAGCUCAUCGUCUGGGUUCCACCAUCCACCCACGCACUCAUUUGGCAGCUAUCAACGGAGUAUUCACAGUACGCUGCUCACAGUUCUAACCGCGGAGGAUAGAGUUGAGGCCCACACGACAGCCCCUGCUCUCACAGAACUGAUGUCUCUAGAAGAGUCUUCCCUCAGUGAGAACGUUCUGAUUUCUAGAACAUUCUUUCUUCUGAUGAGUGAACAGCCUCACCGGAACUUCCCCAUCCUCCUGGCUUGGUUCCUGAAGUGGCCCAAGGCUGCCUUCUCCCUCCCGUGGGUGAACAGGGUCACUGCUUCCUCUCUUGUCCAGGCCCCCUGGCCUGACCCUGAGUCCCGGGCGUAACGGCGUUGUUGAACCACCACAACCCCAGGCGGCGCCUUCCUCUUGGCCCAGGGGCUCUCUUGGGGACAGUGUGCAGUACUCCCCAAGGGGGCUUUGCUGUGCAAAAGCAGCCCCUGCCGAUGCUGCGGCUCCCGUGGAUGGAGCACUGCCGUGGGAACAGAGUUGGAACUCAUCCAAAAGAAUAAAAGACAACUGUGUUGGAAGAUUGCCAAGGUUUGUAGCUGUGCCACCGCAGACUUCAGAGAUGAACACUGCCUUGGAGACGAGGAGGAUUCAAGUUGCAGAAGCAUUUAGAAACCUCAAACUUGAGACACGGUGGGAAAUCAGGAAGACAUGAGGCUUUGCUCAACACUGGAGAACACCAGUUCUUUUCAGUUUGUAUGCAUCUUUAUCAGGGUCUAUGCGAUUCUGAGGCAAGAGGCAUGAAACAACUCUGAGGAAGCAGGUCGGAGAGCAGCUGACCUGGUGAUCAAGUGAGGUCAGUAAUACAUGCUCAACAGAGAAGGCAGAAGUUACAUUUGAUGGAUGAAGCCAAGUAGGAGACCAAAAAGCCACAUGUGGAGGAAAACAUUCAGAUUCCCAGACUGAGAGUGAAGGUGGUUCAGGAUCCAAAUAUAGGUAAUAUAUUGCGAACAGGUACUGAUAUGAGAUGGCCGUAACUUUGACAAAUGUCCCCUUGUUACCAUAGAUGGCUUUUUUGCUCCAAGUAGGUGAUUAUCACCCCUGCAAGGUCAUCUUGAGGAAAUCACGAUGUUGGAAUAAUGGAACCAUCUCUGACCAAUGAGCUAAAUUUAGGUAAUUGGAUAAAGCCCAGAUUCCCAGGUUAAGCUGUCCCAAAACAGACGCAUUAAAAAUAUUUUAAAUAAUAAACAUGACAGAAACAUGGCAAAAAUAAAGUUAUAAUCACUGGGGUUAAGGAAGUUAUUUCAAAUAACUUUAAGCAGGCCAUUGGUUAGGUUACUAAUUUUCCAGCCACUGGAAGUAACAAGUUACCUGUCAAUCCUCCUCCCCUUAUCCAUAGGCUCUGGGUUUUUUUAAAACUCAGAUUUCAUCUUUUUUCCCAGGUAUCACAGCAAAAAGUCUGAAACUCUCGUUUUCCUCCACAAUAGUUUUCAUUCACUUCUUUUAGAUGACACGUGUUUGUGACUUAUUUUCUAUCCUUAUUUAUAUCUCCUGUUCAUAUCUUAUUUUCUUAAUUGAUAAUAAUCUUUCUGAGGGCAGAAAUGAAGACUUGGAACUUUGCAUUUUUUCCAGUCAUGCUGACACAGUACCCCGCAGACAGCACUUACUAAAGGGAUGAGGGACAAUACGGAGGGGCAGCCUGCUAAAAGCAGGGGCAGCAAGACGACAUCUCCAGCUGAGAGACACAUGUACCACUUAGAGAUGAGAAAGAUGCACCAGGGGCCAUCCAGGAAACAGUUGAAAAUGUGGAAUUGAAUGUCAUAAAGAAGGUCAA
RNAcentral lists this long non-coding RNA (2035 nucleotides) under Homo sapiens (human). RNAcentral's name for it is "HSALNT0039070". The record is from RNAcentral. Lineage: Eukaryota; Metazoa; Chordata; Mammalia; Primates; Hominidae.